Molecule: ribosomal RNA, 447 nt
Filed under: uncultured bacterium
Lineage: Bacteria
Description: bacterial SSU rRNA
Rfam family: Bacterial small subunit ribosomal RNA
Source: RNAcentral
GAUCCUGGCUACAGAACGAACGCUGGCGGCAUGCCUAACACAUGCAAGUCGAACGAGACCUUCGGGUCUAGUGGCGCACGGGUGCGUAACGCGUGGGAACCUGCCUUUAGGUUCGGAAUAACUCGGAGAAAUUUGAGCUAAUACCGGAUAAUGUCUUCGGACCAAAGAUUUAUCGCCUUUAGAUGGGCCCGCGUAAGAUUAGCUAGUUGGUGGGGUAAAGGCCUACCAAGGCGACGAUCUUUAGCUGGUCUGAGAGGAUGAUCAGCCACACUGGGACUGAGACACGGCCCAGACUCCUACGGGAGGCAGCAGUGGGGAAUAUUGGACAAUGGGCGAAAGCCUGAUCCAGCAAUGCCGCGUGAGUGAUGAAGGCCUUAGGGUUGUAAAGCUCUUUUACCCGAGAUGAUAAUGACAGUAUCGGGAGAAUAAGCUCCGGCUAACUCCGUG